This 1885-nucleotide unclassified non-coding RNA is filed under the name Hevea brasiliensis (rubber tree). The record is from RNAcentral. Lineage: Eukaryota; Viridiplantae; Streptophyta; Magnoliopsida; Malpighiales; Euphorbiaceae.
CAAGCCUAUUACAGCCACGUCCACGAGGGUCACUCGGAGCUCCACUCGCCGAGCCAACUCCAACUCUUCCUUGCCGCCGGCUGAUUUACCUACUGAGAAAAUGAAUAAAGCAGCGGGAAAGAAGAAGUUGAAGACUGAAGGGAAAAAAGAGACCGAGACUAACGCCGAGGCAGUGAAAGAAGAGUCUAAGAAGGAGGAGAAUGGUGACGAUGAGACUAGGAAGACCAUUGUGAUUGAACACUGCAAACAAUGCACAUCAUUCAAGACAAGGGCUAUACAGGUGAAAAAUGGUCUAGAGAAUGCUGUCCCUGGCAUCAAUGUGCUACUUAACCCUGAUAAGGUAUGUUUGCUAAUGUUAUCAGAUUUGCUAAUGGUUAAAAGUGCUGUAUCUCAUUCUCAACAGAUCUAUUUUUAGUUUUAGAAAUUUGUGUUUCCUUCGAAAAAGUGUGUUUCAGCCUAACUGUUGUGAUUUCUUCAGUUCAAGGACUUUAAAUGACCAUAUGAUAGAAACCAUCUGAUUUUCACGUCCUUUAUGUAAAUUUGUAAGAAAAGUCAAAGAUUUACUUGUUAAAGUCAUUUAACAAUGUGAUUUUUAUUUAAUGCUGCAAAGUUUGAGCUUGGUGUCACUGUGUUAGAGUUAAAUUCUGUGUUAUUUGACUUUAUUUUGAGUUUAUUCUGAGAAUAUGUCAUUAAAUUCAAGGAUAUGUAUACAUCGACUUUAUGGUCAUGUCUUCUGUAAGGGUCUUUUGGAUGUUGAUUCUCUUUUUAUAUAUGUAUAAUGUCUUCAAUCAUUGAAGGGUUGUCAUGGAUGUGUGAGCCAAACUUUGUCAAAUCCGUGUAUAGAUUUCAACUAGGCGUUGGCCACUCACAUGUUUUGCAAAUUCAAGUCCUGAAAACUUCCACAUAUACAUAUUUCAUCGUUUUCUGUUGAUGUGACUGGAUUUUUAUGCUUUCUCUGAGUUGUACUAAGUGUUCCCUGCUUGUGUUGGUUCAUAAUUCUUCAGUAACAUAUAAAAAUACUGGCGCAGUAAGCUUUUUAAAGAACCAGUACUGUAUGCCUGCUUACUUUGCAUAAAGAAACAUCUGCAUAUAAUGUGUAUAUUACUAUUGAGCUUUAUCUAUUGUUUGUAGACAUUUUUCUUUAGUUGAUGCAUUUUUUUGACAGCCUAGAAGGGGUUGCUUUGAAAUAUGGGAGGAAGGUGGAGAAAAGUUCAUCAGUGUUCUGGUAAAACUUCCAAUAGAAGUAUCUAUAAGUGGCACAUUUAUUUUAUUCUUUUGCAUGGUUUUCUUUUGAGUCUUAAAAUUACGCUAGUUAUGUCUCUGUCAAUAAAAUGUACAGCAAUGCCAUUCUUGUGCAAUCAAGGUCUGAAAGUUUACUCUUGCUGUUAAAAUGACUGCUAUAAUUGAUUCUUUCAGGGUGCAUAUAGAAAACGAUUUGGAAUUGUUUAUAAGAUAUUACUAGUCUUUUGGUCUCAGCUUUGUGACAUGUUGAAGUUGUAGAUCCUACAGUUGCAUCAACUAACUGGUCACAUAUAUUUAUUGAUAUGUAGAAUUGCAAAUGUCUUUGUGUAAAUAUUCUGGCACCGAAGUCAAAAUAUUCUCACUGAUCAUACUGUUAAAAGUAGCAUUAUUUCUCCUUUUGAUUGGGUCUUCACUUUGCUAUCAAGUCGUUAAUCCUGGGAAUUCCCAAAGUCUUUCUUCUCCACAGUGUAGCUUAUUCAGAUCUGUUCUGUUAAGGUCUGUUGAUGGGAUUAUAACUUUUCCUGAUCUGUUUACUGAAUGGACAUGAUCUGAGAUUCCCUUUCAAACAGGAUGCAUCGUGUUGUUUCAUUCUGUAUAAAUAUAAUAGUGCUUGCUCUAGGUUUGCCUUCACAUUGUCUUUUUG